UACGAAGGACCCGAGCGUUAUCCGGAUUUAUUGGGUUUAAAGGGUGCGUAGGCGGACUGAUAAGUCAGCGGUGAAAUCCCACGGCUCAACUGUGGAACUGCCGUUGAUACUGUUAGUCUUGAAUGCAGAUGAUGUGGGCGGAAUAUGACAUGUAGUGGUGAAAUACUUAGAUAUGUCAUAGAACACCGAUUGCGAAGGCAGCUCACAAAACUGUGAUUGACGCUGAGGCACGAAAGCGUGGGGAGCAAACAGG
This 253-nucleotide ribosomal RNA is filed under the name uncultured bacterium. Its description in RNAcentral is "partial 16S ribosomal RNA". It matches the Rfam family "Bacterial small subunit ribosomal RNA", at positions 524 to 776 of the family's 1533-position model. The record is from RNAcentral.